GCUUACGGCCAUACCACCCUGAGCACGCCCGAUCUCAUCUGAUCUCGGAAGCUAAGCAGUGUCGGGCCUGGUUAGAACUUGGAUGGGAGACCGCCUGCGAAUACCAGGUGCUGUAAGCU
This 119-nucleotide ribosomal RNA is filed under the name Betta splendens (Siamese fighting fish). The record is from RNAcentral. Lineage: Eukaryota; Metazoa; Chordata; Actinopteri; Anabantiformes; Osphronemidae.